RNAcentral lists this ribosomal RNA (555 nucleotides) under uncultured bacterium. RNAcentral's name for it is "partial 16S ribosomal RNA". It matches the Rfam family "Bacterial small subunit ribosomal RNA", at positions 355 to 902 of the family's 1533-position model. The record is from RNAcentral.
UGGGGAAUUUUGGACAAUGGGCGAAAGCCUGAUCCAGCAAUGCCGCGUGUGUGAAGAAGGCCUUCGGGUUGUAAAGCACUUUUGUCCGGAAAGAAAUCCUUGGCUCUAAUACAGUCGGGGGAUGACGGUACCGGAAGAAUAAGCACCGGCUAACUACGUGCCAGCAGCCGCGGUAAUACGUAGGGUGCAAGCGUUAAUCGGAAUUACUGGGCGUAAAGCGUGCGCAGGCGGUUUGCUAAGACCGAUGUGAAAUCCCCGGGCUCAACCUGGGAACUGCAUUGGUGACUGGCAGGCUAGAGUAUGGCAGAGGGGGGUAGAAUUCCACGUGUAGCAGUGAAAUGCGUAGAGAUGUGGAGGAAUACCGAUGGCGAAGGCAGCCCCCUGGGCCAAUACUGACGCUCAUGCACGAAAGCGUGGGGAGCAAACAGGAUUAGAUACCCUGGUAGUCCACGCCCUAAACGAUGUCAACUAGUUGUUGGGGACUUCAUUUCCUUAGUAACGUAGCUAACGCGUGAAGUUGACCGCCUGGGGAGUACGGUCGCAAGAUUAAAACUC